RNAcentral lists this ribosomal RNA (385 nucleotides) under uncultured bacterium. RNAcentral describes it as "bacterial SSU rRNA". It matches the Rfam family "Bacterial small subunit ribosomal RNA", at positions 30 to 416 of the family's 1533-position model. The record is from RNAcentral.
AUUGAACGCUGGCGGCAUGCCUUACACAUGCAAGUCGAACGGCAGCGGACCUUCGGGUGCCGGCGAGUGGCGAACGGGUGAGUAAUGCAUCGGAACGUGCCAUUGAGUGGGGGAUAACGUAGCGAAAGUUGCGCUAAUACCGCAUAUUCUGUGAGCAGGAAAGCAGGGGACCGCAAGGCCUUGCGCUCUUUGAGCGGCCGAUGUCAGAUUAGCUAGUUGGUGAGGUAACGGCUUACCAAGGCGACGAUCUGUAGCGGGUCUGAGAGGAUGAUCCGCCACACUGGAACUGAGACACGGUCCAGACUCCUACGGGAGGCAGCAGUGGGGAAUUUUGGGACAAUGGGGGCAACCCUGAUCCAGCCAUGCCGCGUGAGUGAAGAAGGCC